CUAGUCUGGCACAGUGAAGAGACAUGGGAGGUGUAGAAUAAGUGGGAGGCCCCCGGCGCCCCUUCCCUGAGUCCCCGCGAGGGGGCGGGGAGGGGGGCACGCCAGCCUUGCAGGCCGCAGGUGAAAUACCACUACUCUAAUUGUUUUUUUUCACUGACCCGAGGGGCUCUCGCUUCUGGCGCCAAGCGAAAAAAAUAAAAUAAAAUAAAACUUUUAGCAGAAAACAUUUAGGCAUCUACUAGAUCUAUAAUUAAGAAAAAAAUCUGGCCCUACUGGUUUGGCUCAGUGGAUAAAGUGUCAGCCUGGG
RNAcentral lists this non-coding RNA (307 nucleotides) under Myotis davidii. Lineage: Eukaryota; Metazoa; Chordata; Mammalia; Chiroptera; Vespertilionidae. The record is from Rfam by way of RNAcentral.